ACGGCCGCAAGGCUAAAACUCAAAGGAAUUGACGGGGGCCCGCACAAGCGGCGGAGCAUGCGGAUUAAUUCGAUGCAACGCGAAGAACCUUACCAAGGCUUGACAUGAACCGGAAAGACCUGGAAACAGGUGCCCCGCUUGCGGUCGGUUUACAGGUGGUGCAUGGUUGUCGUCAGCUCGUGUCGUGAGAUGUUGGGUUAAGUCCCGCAACGAGCGCAACCCUCGUUCUAUGUUGCCAGCACGUGAUGGUGGGGACUCAUAGGAGACUGCCGGGGUCAACUCGGAGGAAGGUGGGGACGACGUCAAAUCAUCAUGCCCCUUAUGUCUUGGGCUUCACGCAUGCUACAAUGGCCGGUACAAAGGGUUGCGAUACUGUGAGGUGGAGCUAAUCCCAAAAAGCCGGUCUCAGUUCGGAUUGGGGUCUGCAACUCGACCCCAUGAAGUCGGAGUCGCUAGUAAUCGCAGAUCAGCAACGCUGCGGUGAAUACGUUCCCGGGCCUUGUACACACCGCCCGUCAAGUCACGAAAGUUGGUAACACCCGAAGCCGGUGGCCUAACCCCUUGUGGGAGGGAGCUGUCGAAGGUGGGACUGGCGAUUGGGACUAAGUCGUAACAAGGUAGCCGUACCGGAAGGUGCGGCU
Molecule: ribosomal RNA, 641 nt
Filed under: bacterium TN92C
Lineage: Bacteria
Description: bacterial SSU rRNA
Rfam family: Bacterial small subunit ribosomal RNA
Source: RNAcentral